GUCGGAUUUCCACUCAACGUCGCAGUCGAUGACACAGUGGCACACUGUCGCAUCUCGUUACGUGUAUUUAAAUCGACGUACUCGGUCCACGAAGAGUACAGGCACUCGAGCUAUUCCGCGUGUAUAUCAUUUCGGAUCAAUCAUUCGCAAUAAAACCAAGAGCGAAGGUACCUGCAGCCAUAACUUCGGAUUUACGGGAGAUAUCUCAAGUAGGAUAACGUAUAAACGGAGGAAAAAUGCAGAUCCACAGGACUCGAUCGUCGAGGUCAGAUCGUUACACCGAAUCGAUACGUUUGGGUAAACGAUCUCUGGCGGCAUCGUUAAAAAGUUUCACUUUCGCAAUUCCGGAUCGAGUCGAUGGUCUGCUACAAUGCGGAGAAAAUACGUGCCAGGCACUCCUCAGGGCGCCAGGGUAGCCGGAGAAAGAUGAGGAAUUAAUGAACCGUGACAGCUUGCAAAACCUUCGAGCAUGUGAUCUCGCCUGCCACUACCGAGAUGCGAACGUGCAAGACGUACCUUCCAUUUCAGAAAAGUAUCCCGCAAUUGCAUUUUCGAGUCUGCCAGAGGAACGAGGCACACAGUCCGUCAGGAUGCAAACAAAGUGCAUCGAUUUCAUUCAACGACCUCUCUCGUUGUGGAACAAGAUCCCCGGUUUUUGACCAUGAUCUUCGGUCGCUUUCGUAAGCCGCUUUUUUUGACCCGGUGAUUUCUCCGAAGUUUUGCGAGCCGAUUCGGUUUCGCUCUCUCCGAUCCAUCUUGGCCAAGGCGCGGUAUAAUUCGCGGAAAAAAAAACGAGCCUGCUGAUGAAGACCAAAGUGUAGUUUCAAGACAAAGAAACGUUUCAAGCCGUAAGGACGAGCACUUCGCGGGUCUAAUUGGAGGCGAGUUGGCUCGUAAACCUCGACGUUAUUUUCUUCAGGGAAUUUAGCGGCACAGGGAUACCGACUGACGUUCUUCACAGUGGCUGGAAGCAUCGAUGCUCGACAUAGACAUAAAAUCUAAACGGGUCGCCGGGGACAAAAAAAUAAUCGAGGAUUCAAGCAAGAAGCAGGACUCUUCGGCGGUGGUUCCGCUAGGACCUCUUUUCCAACUCUGGUCCUUUGAAAAUCCUUCGCGAACGACAACGAACCACGGCGAAAGUGCUACGAUUUAUCUCGCCUUAACUGACCUUUGAACGUAAUUAGAAUUUCUAAAUAAUGCGUGAUAAACUAGCUUACGUGGAAUAAAAGAAUAAAAUGUGGAACUCCAUUCAAAUACGAGUUAGUCGCGUAAAGAUGUCGGAUCUUUACUUUGAGAGAAGCGACACGGUAAAUGGGCGGCUAACAAUGGAAAAUGGUUGUUCCCAUACGUUAGAAUAUCCUUAUAAGUGAUAAGCUUGGCGAGCACUUCUUAGAAUCCACGUCGAAGCCGAGUCCUUAAGAGGGCACGUCGCCGACGUUAUCCAGGACCUGGGAAAAGGCCUGAGUUGCGGCAGAGGGCGAGAUUUAUGCAAACUCUCGCGUCCAGCGCGGAAAACCAUGCGUGCCAAGGAGUGAUUCGGAGCGGGGUCCCGGGUCACGUGGAGUCAUUAUCCUGCCGAAGUAACGAGGCCCAUAUAUUAUGCAAUUAAUCACCGAUUUCCUGCUACUGGUUAGUGGCCUAUCCAUCGGCCUCCUCUUUCCCUCUGUUGGUUAACCGAGAUCAGGAGAGCUCGGUGUUAAAUGGUCCAUUUCGACUGUGCUCGAGAUGGGAAGGCAAGAUCUCCUUUUAAGAGGAAAAGAUUGCUUCAUUAACGAUUCCUUGCGUACAUUGUGCACGUGAAAUUGGGUUUCCUUGCACGGAUUUCCCGAUAGUUCUUCAAGCGUGUAAUUUACCUCAAGAUUACGGAGAUCGUGACAAAUGAUUUAACAACCAUGAGAAUCUACGGAGAUCGUCGCCGAUUCAGCAGGGGAGUGUACAUGUCGUGUACAUUCGCCCGUGGCUUUACGUAUCUCGCCGAUGUGAAGCAGGCUCGUAAAUAUCAAUGCCAGUUGUAACCAACAUCUUCCAGUUGUCUUCAUCCUGAUCGGUCUGGACGUGUAGUUGCAUACUAGGCCAGCAUCCUUUCACGAGUCAUUCCCCACCCGACUCGCG
Molecule: long non-coding RNA, 2112 nt
Filed under: Orussus abietinus
Lineage: Eukaryota; Metazoa; Arthropoda; Insecta; Hymenoptera; Orussidae
Description: uncharacterized LOC105699900
Source: RNAcentral